Molecule: long non-coding RNA, 7589 nt
Organism: Gasterosteus aculeatus aculeatus (three-spined stickleback)
Lineage: Eukaryota; Metazoa; Chordata; Actinopteri; Perciformes; Gasterosteidae
Source: Ensembl
GGGAAGGUAAAAUAAAAGUGCCAGGGCUCCUGUGUCGACGUCGUGGAAAAUCGUCCUCAGCGGUUUCCUGCGGGUCUCCAUUAUCAGGCCUCGUUGGUAGACCAGCUUUUCCCCCCCCGACUUCCUGCCUCGUUUCCUCCCCUUCCAACCCGCUUCCCCUCCCACACUCCCCUCAAUCACAUGAAUCAACGCUGCCAGGGAGAGAGGGCGAGGUGCCGGCUAUAAACCACACUGCUAACUUACUAAAAGUCAAGUUACUACGCGUAGUUUUCAUUGUGCAGCGAGCUCAUUUCUUCACGUAGCGUCGGGUAGUCGCGCGCAUCACCGCGUCGCUCUGGGUUUUUAUUUCAUUAAUCCUGCUGUGAGAGCUGCGUGAGGUUCCCCUCUUCCCUGUUGGACGUGAAACCACGAUGCCGGUCAGGACGGAGCUUCUCCUGUUCAGACGUGGUUGGCAAGCCCUUAAAAACCAGCACAGCUCCGGCCAAUAAGUAGAAAACCCAGAAAGCGUAGGAUGACGUGAGACUUGAGCAACGAGACGGUUCCCCUCGUUCCCGGAUAUGUGGCAACUUACACAAGUGUAACAACGAACAUUCUGGGAAGGUUAAGGAGGUUAAGGUGGACCACUGAUGAUUUGAGCUUUGGGGUCGCGCUUUGGCCGCGCAACACUUGGCAGUGCGCGUCGUUGCCAGGACGACGUCCACAAACGCACUCCUACCCGAUGAAGAUGAGGGCUGAAGGACGUGGAUGCGGGUCAGCGAACACACAGAAAGAGGCGAAAUUGAGAGGGAGCCUCAAACGCUUAGAAACCUUGCAUUUAAUUUGAGUGCGAACCAGCGGGGGAUGGGAGAGAGAGAAGAGGGAGAGAAUAAAGAAGAUAAGUGUGCCUAUUGUACGUGUGAAUGAGAAGGAACAGGGCGUAGGGAGGCAGAGAGAGAGAACGUGAAGGCUGGAGGGAUACAAGCAUGACUAAUCUCGCUGUCAUCCGUAGAAAAAACAAAUCCACAGUAAACCUUUCUCACAGCUUUCCAUCAAUCGCAGAGGGUUUGAUCUAUGGCGGCGAUCGGCGUGCCUCCCGGGGAAGGUCGGGCUGUUGUUUCGCCACAGGACGUGACACAGAGCAUGUGUGAGGCGCCUGAUAGAGAGGCAGAGGCCGACGAGAAAAGGAAAGAAAAUAAAGAGAGAGGGGAAAGGGAAGCACUUAGGUGUGCUUGAUAUCCCAUCAGCGCCCAGUACCCAUCUCAGGCGUGGAAAACCACCACCAUCGGGGUUCACUGCUGGCCCCCGAAAACCAGCCGGGGGGGGGCGGCCAGAGCCCCUUUUUGAGCCGAGAUCAAAUGGUGGACGGAUAAAAGCUUGAAAAACAAUGCCCCCCCCUCCCCUCCUCUCCCCCCCGUGUCCGAGAGCCAAAUAUGCAGCCGCAAUACGAGUUCCUUUUUGUUCUUGAAAAUGCUCCUCAGAUGCUUGACGCAAGACCAAGAGAGGGAGGAGGAAUAAAGGGGGGAGGGAAGGGGGGGGGGACAAAACAAACAGCAAUUAAGGUAGUUUGUGGAUCCGUUUGAAAGAUCCAUCCUUUAGGAAACAUCUGCCAUCUGUCUUGAUGCAGGAGGCCAGGAAAGGACUGAUUCGGAAUCCGUGCCUUUCUAAGCUGACGAUCCAACGCGCUCGCGCACGCUGCAACCAACAACACGGACACUCACACACAAGGUCUAUUUUUUGCUACAGUCCAAAAAAUAAAAAAUAAAGCAUUUAUAGUCUAAACACAGAUAAGACCCGUAUCACUUUGCCUUCGGCUGGAAAUUCCAGACAAGCGUCCAAUGGGCGCUGGAGGAUAAGGACAUAUCUUUUGAGGCAGAAAGCUCUUGGUUGUCUCACGGAGAGAAGUUUUUCACAAUCCGCAGCGACGAAAGUACACAGCUUCUAUCUGGCGUCCAGAUAUAAAGCGGGAAUGCCAAAGAGUACAAGCGUCUGACCCCGGAGGUCCCCGAGAGGAAGCAGGCAGAGAGCAAACUGUGAUCCACUGUGAGAGGUACACGGGGAAACACAAACAAUAGUUUCACAAAUGUGUCCCGUGCACUUUCCUGAGCGCGAACGCCGACGGACAGGGAUUGCAGGAGUAGGGAAACGCCGCUGCGCUGUUCUACUUCACAGGUAUUCAGGGAAAAAUCCAUAAUUCCGCCGGAGGGAUUCGUCAAUCAGUACAUCUGAAACGUUUCAGGCCGCGCGAAACGCCAAAGAGCUGCCCGGGGAAAUGAAAAGAUAAACGUGAAACAAGUCCGACACGGUGUGUUUACACCCCACAGUGAGGCGCUCAGCCCGCUCGUGCAAACUGCCGCCGCAGUAAGUCCAACAUGGCGGCGGCUCGAGUGGCUUGUUGUGCAAUAAACAGGGGCGCAGGCUGCAGGGCGCCGUUGUUUUUCAUGUCAACACUGGAGUUGUUCGACCAGAGGACACACACACACACACACACCUCUGUCCCUUUUGACCUGCUACUGUGAGGCACCUUUGACUCCAGCAGGACUCCCCGACACUCAGAUACAAAUUCAGUUGCGUUUCGUUUGUGCAUCGUGUUCAGCAUCAGCCUUUUGUCAAAAUGACGCAUCUCUUUUUAACAGGCAGCAAAGAGCCGCCGGAAUGCUUUGCUAAACAGUUCUGGGAUAGAAAUGUGUUUUGUGUGCAGCUCUUGAUUCCUUCAAGUGUUUACAAGCACAUCGACCAAUCGGGACCCGAGGUCGCUCUUGGACGGCUGGUUGGAAUAUCAAAACCAAAGAGGAGGAAAAAGAACACAGAACAAUCCAAAUCCCGCUUUUUUGUUCCCUCGUAGACUAAAUCUUCAAACUGGCGGGUUUGUGUUGCAACCAUUGGGGAGGUAAAGCAUUUGGGUGAUGCUCGCUGUCUGAAGUUAAAAAAAAACGUUUGCGGUUUGACAUUAAUUUGUGUGUCUCUGCAGCUCAGUCGGAUCAAAGCGGGUUUGUGGAUCCGGCCCUCGUCUGCGCUGUACGGUCACAUCAGAAAGGAAAGAUCCAUCUGUUCCUUGCUGAGAGGAGCGAGUAGGGCUCACAGGAGGGCGCGCACACACACACACACACACACACACAUCUCCCAUCACCAGCUGGAUCGGAGAAAAAGCAGCAAUUUGGCAACAGACGCUGAGCUCUCUAAUGGUUCCAUCCACCACGCCCUCCGCGCUGCACUCCUCCAUCAGCUCAAACCCGCUGACUGAAAAAACAAAAGUCCUAUUGCAACAUUCCUCCUGCAGAUUCACACACACACACACACACACAUGUACGCACUAUCCUGUUAACCACCCCCACUUCCAUGCAAUCAGAGGCUCAGAAUAGGAAGGAGGGAGAGGAAGCGGCCCUGCAUUCACAGGCUGGGAACAAGGAGAAGGAAAAACAGCCGGAACCUGGAAUUUACGGAGGAAAAAACAACGGCCAUCCAAAAAUACCUCAGGACCAUCUCCGCAGAUAAACAGAAACAUCAUUACUCUCAUCCUGCGGCUCGGGACAGUUUUUCCUUCCACACUUCCUUCCAUCUCAACUUUGCUUCCAGCGGCUCAAUAUCGAGGAAACUUCAAGUGGCAACCGCUCUUUUGAGAGGCAUUCGCCCCCCUCCACCUUCCACCCUCCGCCCCCAUGUGCUACUCAGGUCUUUCUGCUCCGGCCUUCCUCAGGUCAGGGAAGCCACGCAGAAGGUCCAAACCUCAUUAGGCCCGAAGCUAAUCAGCGCUAAGUGGAGCCGCCGGACAGCUGGUCUCCCUGCUGCUGGGGGACGAGUCCAGCCUCUUAAAUGUCGUGUUUAUUUACUUUCCAUUGUCCUUUAACUUCCUCGAGAGGAUUCACAAAGUUCUGCGUUUGCGCCGCAGUCACACGAGCUGGACGGGAGCUGCAACCUGAGGCUCCUCCGCUCGAGUGAUGCAUAGAUACGUGCGGGGGGGAGGGGGGGGAGGAGGGGGAGGACCGCCGCCGGCGUAGAAAGGCCGCGCGCUCUGAUCAGACAUCCGUUUUACGCAGAGAUCUGCUCCGUUCAGCAGGCAGAAGCUAAGCAGGUCGUCAUGUGACAGAGCCCUUCCUGUGGCUGGGAGGUGGGGGUCACCGACCCCCAGGUCAUUUCCUCCGACCUCUUCUUCCUAAUUGAUUCAAUUUCCGAGCCAUUGGUCUCCUAUUAGGAUGUUCUAAUAGACCCGUGCGCCUCCUCUUUAAUAUCUCCUUCUUUUGUCCCCAAAAUAAGGAGAAAUUCUUCACUCUGCGUUAUUAAAUGUUGUCUAACUCCACUCCGCUCUUUUGUAUAGCGAGGACAAUGACCUUUAAACGACAUAAUGAACCUUUCAGUGACGUAGCGGCGUUGUUGAUGUGGGUCUGCAAAAAAACGUAACAGUUUGACCUGAAAGUCACAACGGACUUUACUGCUGAUCGACUUCAUUACAAAUGUGUUUUCGGCCAUCGGUCGAUUACGGCCUUUAAUGUUAGUGGUGCAACGUCCCGCAUGCAGCUGAUACCAAGUAUUAUUUCCAUAGAAUGACACACUGACACGCCGGCAUGCUUUUUGAAACUUGACAUGUGGUUUUAAAAGAAUCAGACAUGAAACUCCAGAAUCUUCUUUUCCAUUUUAUUCCAUUAACGAGUUUCCUCUCUGCUACGGGAUCAUGUUUUUGGAGACUUUUGCACACUGAACUCGGUGACACAUGCCGCGGACAUUCGGGCGGCAGGUACCCAUGUGACCAGUAUUUUGCCUGCUCGAGGCUGCAGGCCGGGCAAGCGGGCGAGUCGGGCACCGCUUGGAGCAGCAGAGUCGCGCUCACUGUUUAAAAACAUUGUUCUAUAGUUAUUUUGCCGGUUGAGCAGACCCACGUCUUCCCUCGUGACACGGACACGUUGCUUUUCACCGGUUGCCGCUGCAUGAAGGAGACACGUCAGUGCGUCAAUGUCCAUAAACAGCUGCUGGGUCGGACCUGUUCCUGUGUUCAUGUAAACACACUGUGACAUCAGGGAAAUCAGACUCCGGAUUGUCCUGCUUCUGCUUUGGUCGGUUUGUUUGUGCUAUCAAACCUGACAGAACCUCCGGUGACGACAGCGCUUCUGCUCCGGAGAGAGAGGAGGCCCGGGGUCAGGUGGCGAGGAGGCCCGGGGGUCAGGUGGUGAGGAGGCCGGGGUCAGGUGGCGAGGACGGCCGAGGUCAGGUGGCGAGGAGGCCCGGGGUUGGGUGGCGAGGAGGCCGAGGUCAGGAGGCGAGGACGCCGGGGCAAUGAAACGGCGUUCAUUAUUAACGAUGGCGACGCAGAGCAAAAACAUUGACGUUUGACCAAAAAACGACGGACCACACAGUUGCCCAAAAACAAACAUUUCGAUUUGCUUGUUCUAAUCUGCGGAGGCACUCGGCCUCACGUGGGGGAGGAAUCUUUCUGUUUCGGGAUUCUUUAUAGAAUAACAAGACAGAAUGUUUGCUUAGAUUCACUGGAGUUAACAAACAUCAGCGGAGUCGCUGGCGAGCAAAAACGAGAACGAUCCCGAGUCCCGGCUGGUUGCUGAUGCGGCGCCUCCGUCUGAUGGCGGCGUCCCGCCUCUCGCCGGGAAUACGUGUCUUCAUCUGCAGCACUUUGUGUUUAUUAGUUCUGGUGUCUGACAUUUUCCCAACGCAACGUCUUAUUUAAACAAGCGCACGCUGCUUUAAUCACAAACUCCUCUUUUAAGGUAAAUACAAGCGGAUGGCCUGUCAGAUCGGCAUUUCACAAAAACGGCAUUUCAGACGUGUGUGUGCACACACAUCGUGUGUGUGUGUGUGUGUGUGUGUGUGUGUGUGUGUGUGUGUGUGUGUGUGUUGGCCCCACUGAGAGCGUUAUUACAAAGAGCCAAUAAGAGCGAAGGACCACACUCUAGCACAUCCUGUUUGACUUGACCUCAGAGGAUAUUCUCCUUUCCCAAGCAAACAAACCGCCGGGCUUUUUGGAUCGUACCAACGUCGGAGGGGAAGGGAGGGGACGGGGGACGGGGGACGGGGGACGGGGGGGUCAGGGGGUAGUUUUUGGGAGCAGAGAGACGAGAAAUAAAUACUGCAAGACGAGGUUUUAUCUCUGAGAACACGCCGGCUUACUAAUUGUGUACUGACAACAAAUGAAUGCAAGCCCAAAUAUUCACCUAUUUCUUUUUGUCAAUUCAUUGGCCAAUAAUUUUCAACAUUCAGCAAAUGGGAACCCGUUGGAAUCACUAAAGCGAUAUAUCAAUCAUCAAAUUAGUUGCAGAUUAACUCAACACAAAUCACUGGAAGAGUCUACAUGUCUAAACCUCAGGGCCACAGAUCAGCAAAAACCGGUCACGCCCGUACAAACCAUUUGAAAGCAGCUUUUCAAACCGUCCUCCGUGACGUUCAAAUCACUGCGAUUGUGUGUUUUAAGAACUUCGUAAGCUGAAAAAAACGCGAAAAAACACGCGUGAGCGAGGCCCGUGAGGCGCGUUAAAUCGGCGACAAAAUAAGGAAGAACACAGCAGGAGUCCUUGCUAAUCGGCGGCCUAUCGUGCACUACAUGCUCACGAUUUUGUUCUCAGCAAUAAUUAUCAGAGCGAACGAAGGUUCUGUGUUCGUGGUGAAACGAAAUCCAAUGCUUGAAUCAACUUCAAGCAAGCGGCUGUCACUAUAUUUAGCCUAUAGACCCUGUGUUUCCAUGGCUACCAGGGUUGAAGCGAGCCGAAGGCCGCAACAUUCAUGCGAUCUAUGUGCUCGGGAUCAUUUCAGUAAUCACAGCAUGACUUGUGAAUCAUUUCCACCUGGGUCCCAUAAUGCGAUCCCACCUAAAUUUCAUUAACAGACACGCUGCUUCCAAUUUAAAGGGUUUUUUUCCCCUAAAGGCUCCCUGCCCACUUUUCAGAGAAGCCUUUUUCUGUGCAACUGAAACAUUUUAUUUAAUUCCCUCAAAGCAGGAGAAUCUGUUUUGGAUUCACUUGGACUUCAGUUACACUCGAAUCCAACCGACGACUGAGACUUUUAUUCCUGCUCAGCAACUCAUUGGACCCCAAACUGAACUGAGGAGCAGCUGACCUCCACCCCGUCCGCCGGCGGGGAAGGUGAGUUCUGGCGACGGUCAGCAGCUCCCCGGCGGCCGGUGUUGCCGGUGGACUCGUCCACAGGUGGGUGCUGGUCCACGGCUGUUUGUAGUAAACACCGAAAAGUCAGACUAAUAGAAAGAAAGUUCCAAAACAGAACAUGGUGGGUGGGUGGGGGGGGGGGGGCACAUAUGUGUGAAGGGUCAACGUUUGCCUUUGGGUCUGGUCACACAUCCACGGUAUAUUUCCGCCACUUAAAUCCAAAAUGGCGUGACUGUUAUUCCCAUUCCCACCAGAGAAAACCAGUAAACGUGUUUUUUCGCGGAUCGAAUAACUGCGUAAAGGACUUCGGGUUUCAGAGCGAUUUACGAUAUUCAACUUUGACGUUGGUUCAUCAAAGGAGCGAAGCGCUCUUAACUUCUCCGCCUCUGUGGGUCACGUCCUCCGCCUGCGGCCGCGGCCGGAUGAGAACGCCAGAGAGGCUCCGAUCCGCUUUCAUGUGGGUCACCGUGGACUUCCUCAAGGGGGCUUUUUCAGGUGCGGCUCCGGGGG